Molecule: long non-coding RNA, 367 nt
Organism: Bradysia coprophila
Lineage: Eukaryota; Metazoa; Arthropoda; Insecta; Diptera; Sciaridae
Source: RefSeq, a predicted model, not a curated record
CAGAAUUUUGAAAUUUCUUGAUAGUUGUCGAUUUCUGGACCCUUGAAUCAGUUCGUUAUUGAGACAAAAAUGAGACUAUUUUUUGUGGUAAUAGUAACAGUUGUAGCAACUGCGUUGGCCCAACGAGAAAAUUAUGAAACUCUAAAAACGCCAAGUGUGGUGCCUGAUAUUGCACCUCUCGACAAUGUGCCUGAUAUUGCACCUCUCGACGACCAGCCACCAUACGCAUCAUACCGAAGUAGUUUGAACGAAGAUGCGAAUGUACGACGACGACAGAUGUUUGACGGUGAUGGCUUUUUUUCUGGUGGUUGGCUAUUCUAAUUUUAUUAGAGGUUCUUAGUACUGAUAAAAGUGAUUAUCCCGAAAA